UAACGUCCCUGUGCUGUAGCAGACAGAAGUCUGGACCCUUACCUGAUGCGAAGUGACGUGGCACAGCCUGGCUUGGUGCUAGCUGCUAGCAGAGGGAGGCUGGGCUUGGAAUUAGGACUCUUCUAUGGAGGGUGAGCUUAAUUCACACCAAGAGCAAAAUCAUCAAAUCAGGAGAAAAGGCGACUGGGAAGGUCUGAAGGUCUGCACGUGCAGACAUGAACGUACAUAGAAGCUUCCAGUUUCCAUGAAUUACUCAGACAUCUCUGCUUAAGGCCUCCCAGCAGGUGCCACUGAGAGCUUUGGUGCUUCCUAGCGCUCCUCUGUUCACACUGACUGCUGUGGGCCUCCUCUAAAUUUUUCUCAUAAAAAACUGAGUUAUUCUGCAAUGACAGGUUGUUGUGGGGUGAUGGAUAUUUGUGUGGAUGAGGAGAGCAGACUUGCCUGCUCAGGGAAGUGCUGUCUCGCUGGGGUCAUCUCGCACCCAUUCGUAACCGCAGGUCAGUACGUGCCCCGAUGUCCUUGGUCCACCUCAGUGCGGUUUGCUCUGUGUGGCAGGGUUGCUUUGUGUAUUUCACUGCGACUUCCCCUAGCUCCUGUGCUUGCUUUGCCAGUACCGAGUUACAGACGGGGAGGCAGAUUCUGCGCGCAUCGUGUUGCACCAGCUUUGUACGGCGUUCAUCGAUUUUCCACCGGAUAAAACGCAAGCCUGCAGACGACCAAGGGGCUUGGAAAUAUCUCACCUGCAGGGGUAUUUGCAGGAGGUACAUAAUGCAAUUUUCCCAAGGAGCUCCUGCUCGGCACCACUCGCUGAGGACGGCCAAAGGGCUGAGCAGGGCUCCCUGGGGCGGCCUCGGGCUGGGAAAUAACGGGGCCAAAUGCAGCAGCCUCGCCUGGGUGUGCCGGCCCCAAGGGGAGACCUGCCUGUGGUCAGCACGGUGCUGGCAGCACAAGGCGGCAAAUGGGAGAUGCCUGAUUCAUUAGUGUGUGGUUCCUGUGAGAUUGUGCCAUUUAUUUAUUUUUAAACCUAAUUGUUUUAGAUUUUUUUUUCCUAAAAUAAAUUUUGUUUUCAUUCUUUAGAUCUCCCAGGCCUGCAGAACCAGGUGUGCUGGACCAGGGCAGGCUGGUUCCCUGGCUCCAGGGCAGAAGGGAGAGCCUUGGCCUCUCCUGCACCCGUUCUGUUCUGCAUGGCCCUGUCGCUGCUUCCUUGCCUGGCCCCUGCCAGGGAUCGAGCGCUGAGAGAGAAGCCAAGGGAGCACCAAGGGAUCGGAGAAGGCUGCGGCCCUCCUCUGCUGGGGGCUGCAUAGGCCAGAGGGAGAGGGCUUGUUUGCUCUCGGGCUCAUUAAAAUCUGAUGGUUUCAGUAUAAA
Long non-coding RNA from Oxyura jamaicensis (ruddy duck), 1365 nucleotides. RefSeq lists it as uncharacterized. The record is from RefSeq and is a predicted model, not a curated record. NCBI's taxonomy places the organism in Eukaryota, Metazoa, Chordata, Aves, Anseriformes, Anatidae. The transcript is spliced from 2 exons.